AACUCCCUGGGGUAUUCGCCAGUCAGCAUGUCCUUGAGCCGAUAAUACCCACCCGGAGGUUCCUCGUUGGUAGCUGUGUGCAUGCUCGGCAUGACCGAGAAGCCUGAACUACUGCAGGAUCCACCACCUUGAACCUUUUCGGUUCGAGGCCGCUAAUGACAGCGGUACCUUGGGGCGUUC
Molecule: non-coding RNA, 180 nt
Filed under: Cellvibrionales bacterium
Lineage: Bacteria; Pseudomonadati; Pseudomonadota; Gammaproteobacteria; Cellvibrionales
Description: 6S RNA
Rfam family: 6S / SsrS RNA
About the family: E. coli 6S RNA was the first non coding RNA to be sequenced, but its function was unknown until recently. It consists of 184 nucleotides that fold into an extended hairpin structure with a large single-stranded internal bulge.
Source: RNAcentral